GGCCCUCAGAAUAGGUAUGGUCAAAUUUAUUUUAGGAAAGAUAGGCCAUGUAUAAAGUGGAACAGAAAUGCAGUUAAGCAAACUAAUUUGAGAGUGAGUUUAGCUGCAGCAUAUUUGACAUUGACCUUAUUAUUAGGAAAAACACGCUUGUUAGGGCUUUCUGAAAUCCUGCUGAGUUCACUCCAAGAACUGCCAGGGAAGAGAAGAAAACAAGCCUGACCUGCUGUGUCCAUCAGACUUGGCACUGCUAUGCCUACAGGGCCACCACCACUUCCUGAGGCCAAGAAGUUCUAGUAAAUAUACCUGACUAGAGCUGGUAUCUGGAACAAGAGUGAAAUCUCAUCUUGUGCCUGAGGUUCUCAAGCAAGAAGAAAUGAAGUAACUAGCUGCAGUAAUGUUUUGUUCUGGAGGACAGAAAUUCAGAAGUCUGCACUGGAGCUAGAUUAGCUGAGCAGUUAAAUAAUAUGUUUUCAGACAUUGUGGUUUUCUGCCAAAAUGUAUUUGGAUAGGGAUUUUCAGCCUUAAUGCAGCUGAAUUGUUUUUGAGAGGCAUCGCAAAAACAUGAAAACAUGAGUUUUGCGGUUUGAAGGCAUGUAGCAACUUCAUCCUGCAAUGCUACUGAAGGAAAACUGAGUCAUGGAAAGCAAAGGGACCUGAUUAAGAUCAUAAGGGUGAUCAAAACUGGGCCACGUGCUAAAUGCCUUUGGCACCACCCCUUCCCUCUAUUGAAAGAACCAGUCAGCCUUUCCUGGGGGACCUGGGAGCUUCCUUUGUUAUUGAACAAAACUAAAGACGCUGUCUUUGCACUGUCCGGUGCAGCUCUGUAUUUCACACACUGUGGUCAUAGCAACAUGGCUGCUAAGCCCCUCCAUCAGAAUCACAAUUGUAGCUGCCUUGGGCAUGGCAGCAACCACAGUGGCUUGAGUUAA
RNAcentral lists this long non-coding RNA (929 nucleotides) under Coturnix japonica (Japanese quail). Its description in RNAcentral is "lncRNA (ENSCJPG00005014714.1)". Lineage: Eukaryota; Metazoa; Chordata; Aves; Galliformes; Phasianidae. The record is from RNAcentral.